UACGUAGGGUCCGAGCGUUGUCCGGAAUUACUGGGCGUAAAGGGCUCGUAGGCGGUUUGUCGCGUCGGGAGUGAAAUCCACUGGCUUAACUGGUGGCUUGCUUUCGAUACGGGCAGGCUCGAGUUCGGUAGGGGAGACUGGAAUUCCUGGUGUAGCGGUGAAAUGCGCAGAUAUCAGGAGGAACACCGGUGGCGAAGGCGGGUCUCUGGGCCGAUACUGACGCUGAGGAGCAAAAGCGUGGGGAGCGAACAGG
RNAcentral lists this ribosomal RNA (253 nucleotides) under uncultured bacterium. Its description in RNAcentral is "partial 16S ribosomal RNA". It matches the Rfam family "Bacterial small subunit ribosomal RNA", at positions 524 to 776 of the family's 1533-position model. The record is from RNAcentral.